Andrographis paniculata is the source of this 3042-nucleotide RNA transcript. It is a transcript of the gene named putative GTP diphosphokinase RSH1, chloroplastic, with no coding region annotated. The record is from RefSeq and is a predicted model, not a curated record. The transcript is spliced from 18 exons. NCBI's taxonomy places the organism in Eukaryota, Viridiplantae, Streptophyta, Magnoliopsida, Lamiales, Acanthaceae.
GUCUACAUAAAAGAAAGUUCCAGAAGUUCGGUGCUCUCGGAAGCCUUGUAUUUCCAUUUCCAUCAGGUAAGGGUUUCUUUCGCCUCCGGUGCAAUGGCGGGAUGAACGGCGACGUUGCGGCGGCCAUUUCAAUCGGUAUGUUUUAGUUGAAUCCAAGAUUCGAUUCUGAUUUGCGAUUUCUUCAAACUAAUCGAUUGAGUUGAAUAUGUUACCAUGUGCUUGGACUGGUGCAUCGAAUUUGGACUCCCAUUCCUCGAGCUGUUCGCCCUUUUCAUACAAUCACCAGGGAUCUUCUUGGCAGCCGUGUCUUUGUAUUUACACCAAAAGGAGAGGCAUGAUUCUGAGUAAAAAUCUUCCCGAGGGUGCAACUGCCAUUGAUUAAGCAUAUAUGAUCCACUCUGACAUUGGGUACAAAAUGGUUGCUGCAGAGGUUAAAAUGGAAACACGCAGUGCCCGACUCAAUAACAUGAAAGUAUGUUUAUCUGUGGAUCUAAACAAUUGAUUUGAACACCCUCUUUCAUUCAAUUGAGAAGAAGUAUAUUUCAAUUUCAAGAAGUGAUUUGGAAUGGGGCUGUACAAGGUUGAAUUAAUUCGGAAGCCUUGAGCAAAAUGGUGGGAAGAUGCACGGAUGCUAAGAUGGAUCUUUAAAAGAAGUACUGGGAGAUUCUGAAUUUGGUAAACUUUAUAAAUGAAAGAGAGAUAUUUCAAUUUCAAGAAGUGAUUUGGAAUAGGGCUGUGCAAGGUGAAAUUAAUUCGUUCAGGAAGCCUUAAGCAAAAUGGUGGGAAGAUGCACGGAUGCUAAGAUGGAUCUUUAAAGAAAGUACUGGGAGAUUCUGAAUUUGGUAAACUUUAUAAAUGAAAGAGAGAAGAGGAAUAUGGAUAAUUCAUCUGGAUUUGCUGCUGGAGACACCAACUCAAAUGGACUGAACUUAAUGAAACCCACCAAAAAUCAGGAACUGCAAACUAGGAGAAGUGAUUGAGAGGGUUGCAUUUGGAAGGGUUUUCGACCAAGACAUGGGUUGCUGCAGCGUGUCUCAUUGGUAAAAUGUUGCAUUUCUAUUAUUUUCCUGAGAUGAGUAAGCAUUACAAUCUUUCGAGUUUCAUUGAUGAUGUUUCAUAUCUCUUUAGUUCAAAUAUUUGUUUGCUACAUGGCAUAUAUUUCCACCUAUAGGUCUUUGCCUUCCAUAUGUUGUCAAUUUGGUGUUUUUAGUUCGACCAUGUAACAUGGAAAGAUUCUGUUUCCCGAAGCUGAUGUGCUGUGACUCAUAAGAAAUGAAAGAUGUUAACAAUUAAAAAUUAUGAGUAGUCUGAUGCCGGAGCCUUGGUCAUCCCAUGCAUGAUACUUACGUCCUGUACUGAAAAUCAUACCAAUUCAGAUUGAGCCAAGAGCAGCAAAGCAGAGGGAAUGGAAGCUGCUUCCACCUCAGAGUGGUUUCUCUGAACUAUUUGACAUUGGACUGAGUCGAAAAUCAAUAUUCCUCUCGUCGGAGAAAGAUUGAAGAAGUUCGGAGUCAAUUGGAGUGAAGUUCCGCUGUUUGAGAUCGUAGGAGAAGGAAUCGUAACUGGAGGAGCCAUCUGCUGGGUUUGUCGCUCAAUCAAUCGGUGCCGUCGUCAAUCAACCGGAAUUUGAUGUCCAUCGAAGCUAUUGUUGUAAGCUGCUGCCAUCCGGCGACCUAGAGCAGUUGGCGGAGGAAUCUGCGGUCGGAGAUUGAGAGAAUUCCAUAGAUGUUCGUCGUUGAUUGUGGGUCAUCGUCGCUUGGCUGAUUUAUGAAUUGUUGAGGCCGUUUGUCGUCAAUUGGUUUCUCGUAUCUCCGAGUCUGCUCUGGCGAAUGUGGUCUACAUAAAAGAAAGUUCCAGAAGUUCGGUGCUCUCGGAAGCCUUGUAUUUCCAUUUCCAUCAGGUAAGGGUUUCUUUCGGCUCCGGUGCAAUGGCGGGAUGAACUGCGACGUUGCGGCGGCCAUUUCAAUCGGUAUGUUUUAGUUGAAUCCAAUAUUCUAUUCUGAUUUGCGAUUUCUUCAAACUAAUCGAUUGAGUUUAAUAUGUUACCAUGUGCUUGGACUGGUGCAUCGAAUUUGGACUCCCAUUCCUCGAGCUGUUCGCCCUUUUCAUACAAUCACCAGGGAUCUUCUUGGCAGCCGUGUCUUUGUAUUUACACCAAAAGGAGAGGCAAGAUUCUGAGUAAAAAUCUUCCCGAGGGUGCAACUGCCAUUGAUUAAGCAUAUAUGAUCCACUCUGAUAUUGGGUACAAAAUGGUUGCUGCAGAGGUUAAUGGAAACACUUAGUGCCCGACACAAUAUCAUGAAAAUAUUUCAAUUUCAAGAAGUGAUUUGGAAUAGGGCUGUGCAAGGUGAAAUUAAUUCGUUCAGGAAGCCUUAAGCAAAAUGGUGGGAAGAUGCACGGAUGCUAAGAUGGAUCUUUAAAGAAAGUACUGGGAGAUUCUGAAUUUGGUAAACUCUAUAAAUGAAAGAGAGGAUAUUUGUGAUGUCAUAAAGUUUCUACGCAAGAUUCAGGUAGGAGUAUUUAUGAAACAAGGAAAAAAGUGAUUCAAACAAGAUGAAUUCGAAAAGGAUUUCGACCAAAGGGGACGAAGAGCAAUAUGGAUAAUUCAUCUGGAUUUGCUGCUGGAGACACCAACUCAAAUGGACUGAACUUAAUGAAACCCACCAAAAAUCAGGAACUGCAAACUAGGAGAAGUGAUUGAAAAGGUUGUAUUUGGAUGGGAUUUCGACCAAGACAAGGUAUAUUUUUUAAUUCCAAGUCAGGGUUGCUGCUGCGUGUCUCAUUGGUAAAUGUUGCAUUUCCAUUAUUUUCCUGAGAUGAGUAAGCAUUACAAUCUUUUGAGUUUCAUUGAUGAUGUUUCAUAUCUCUUUAGUUUAAAUAUUUGUUUGCUACAUGGCAUAUAUUUCCACCUAUAGGCCUUUGCCUUCCAUAUGUGGUAAAUUUGGUGUUUUUAGUUCGAACAUGUAACAUGGAAAGAUUCUGUUUCCCAAAGCUGUUGUGCUUUGACUCAUAAGAAAUAAAAGGUCCUUUCGUUUUGUUGGA